AAUAGCCUAACGGCUGAACCAGCAAUUUGAAAGAAUGGAAAAAAAACAUGAAUUUUAGGGUGCUAAAAUUUAUGAUUUUAGUGGUUUAUCCACAUAAAAUUCUAGAUAUAAUAUUGAUAAUGACAACUUUAUAUCUAAUAGUCUUGACUAAGUCACGUGCCAGCAGUCGCGGUAAUACGGGAGAGACAAGUGUUAUUCAUCUUUAAUAGGUUUAAAGGGUACCUAGACGGAUUACACAACUAACAUAGGUCUAUUUUUAAUAAGACAUUUUAUAGUAUGGUAAUCUAGAGUUUUAUAUGAGAGGUAGAUGUCAGUACCAACGGAGUAGAGAUGAAAUUUUUUAAUACUGUUGGGCACUGGUAAAGGCGAAAGCAACCCUUUAUGUAAAAACUGACGUUGAGGGACGAAGGCUUGGGUAGCAAACAGGAUUAGGUACCCUAAUAGUCCAGGCAGAUAAUGAUGAGUGCCAUAGAUUAGAAUUAUUUUGAUCUAUAAAUGAAAGUGUAAGCACUCCACCUCAAGAGUAAUGUGGCAACGCAGGAACUGAAAUCAUUAGACCGUUUCUGAAACCAGUAGUGAAGUAUGUUGUUUAAUUCGAUAAUCCGCGAAAAACCUUACCACAACUUGAAUAUUAUAGUGUAAUUGGUCAGAUACCAAUGUUUAUACACUAGUUAUACAGGUGUUGCACGGCUGUCUUUAGUUAAUGUCGUGAGAUUCAGGUUAGCUCCAUUUAAUUAACGCAAACCCUUGCUUUAUAUAUCAUAUAUAAAGUAGUUCACCAGUAUAUUGGUUAAGAUAAUAGGGAUUAAGGCAAGCACUCGUGGCCCUAAUGUUGUGGGCUAUAGACGUGCCACAUAUGCCUGGACAAAAGGAAGCUAAAUUGUAAAAACUAGCAAAUCCUAAAAACAGGUUAUAAUAUUUAAUAU
Molecule: ribosomal RNA, 926 nt
Filed under: Lecanographa amylacea
Lineage: Eukaryota; Fungi; Ascomycota; Arthoniomycetes; Arthoniales; Lecanographaceae
Description: SSU rRNA
Rfam family: Bacterial small subunit ribosomal RNA
Source: RNAcentral